Molecule: long non-coding RNA, 931 nt
Organism: Patella vulgata (common limpet)
Lineage: Eukaryota; Metazoa; Mollusca; Gastropoda; Patellidae
Exons: 3
Source: RefSeq, a predicted model, not a curated record
UGUUCGGGGUAUGUAGGAAUUCCCUUAAAGAAUUGGACAUGGCAAUGGCGAGACGAUCCGUUGAAUAAAACAUGGCUGCCUUACCAGUACCCGGAUAACAUUACCACCAGUUAUAGCUCGCAACAGUUUGGUUGUAACUCGUUUACCACUUCAACUUUGAAACAUACCAUGACAGAUAGAGGAAUAGAGUUCAAAUGUAUUUUAGGAGAUUUCGAGGCCUACAGUUUCUCAACUACUCUAUACUCUAGAGCUAUCACGUCCGGUCAAUUACAAAUUCUAAAUCUACCAAGCGCCGGACAAUUAAAAUUGAGAUGUUCACCGCAAGUAGAUGCUGGUUAUACCAGACUUGACGAAAUACGGAUUUACCGUCACAGAGGCCGAGAAUCAGAAAGUUGGAUAAUUGAUAAAUCUUGGCUUUCACGGAGUGAAGACGGCGUUACUGUCAUGGGUUCAUUUGACAUAUCAGCACCGCUGAAUUCGUAUCUAGAAAUUGCGGAGAGUCCAUCUUGUAGAGUCCACGACGUGUAUGGUUGUAUUACGUCCGGGACCACAGAAGAUAACCUUCAAGGUUUACAGGAAACUAAAACCGUCACAGAUGUCCUUGUUCCUACCAGUAUCAGUACAAGUAAAACACCAAACACGUACUUUUCUACAGUCGGUGAUCUUCUCACAUUCAAAUGCGAGGGGGAUAUCGGCAACCCUCCACAAAAUAUCUCCUGGUUAUGGAGAUCUAAUUCUAAAUCAUCAUGGAGGGCUUACGUUCAUUCCGAGGAGGAUAUAUCCACUAUUGUUACUCGACCGGAAACUGAAGGGUGCCAAUAUUCGACAAGCAGUUUCUUAAGUUAUAAUGUGAAAGGUGAAGAUAAUGGUAAACAAUUUCGAUGUACAGCCGCAGGUUUGGAAAGUCAUAACCAGGACAUAACUAUAUAUU